CGAUGCUAACAGACUCCAGCAGCAGCUUCAGAGGAGCUGUGGCUCCUAAACUGGAGCUUCAGGUCCAACAGAGCUGAAUCAAAGCUCUACAACUCUGGUUUAGACGAUAAGAUGCUGAGCUUCCGGUCUGAAGAUCAGCCUCCAUUUUGAGCUGCAGGAUGGAAAUAACUUGCUGACUUGUUACUAGAGGACAGUUACUGGAACCGGAUCACUGGACUGACUGGUUCUGGUUUCUCUCUCCAAAAGGCCAGAAGAUGAAAGAUGGGUAUCAGUCCAUCUAUGAGGAGUGACCAGUCCAAAGAUGAACCUCCAGAGUUCAGUAAUGAACCUGGACCAUCAGACAGAAAGAGCUGUGAGUGUGAAGAAAGACCCAGAACAGGAGCUGAACGGCCG
Xiphophorus hellerii (green swordtail) is the source of this 393-nucleotide long non-coding RNA. RefSeq lists it as uncharacterized. The transcript has 4 exons. The record is from RefSeq and is a predicted model, not a curated record. NCBI's taxonomy places the organism in Eukaryota, Metazoa, Chordata, Actinopteri, Cyprinodontiformes, Poeciliidae.